UAAUUAAUUUUAGAUUAGAUCUAAUUUAAUUAAGACUUGAAUGGAUCAAAAAUUUAAGUUAGACUUGGAUCAGAAUCUUAAUUAGAUUAGAAUUGACAAGCUCUUCGAGUCUGAUUAGAAUUGGGUUCAAAUCGGAUGCAAUUUGAGUUAAAUCUUAGUCCAUUUGGUUAAGAACCAAAGAGUCCAUGAAACCAGAGACUUUCUCUCAUAUUGACCGACCAUAGA
Molecule: long non-coding RNA, 225 nt
Filed under: Elaeis guineensis (African oil palm)
Lineage: Eukaryota; Viridiplantae; Streptophyta; Magnoliopsida; Arecales; Arecaceae
Description: long non-coding RNA (EGUI_LNC058345)
Source: RNAcentral